GGGCCGUUAGCUCAGUUGGUUAGAGUGCUACCUUGACAUGGUAGAAGUCACUGGUUCGAAUCCAGUACGGCCCACCA
This 77-nucleotide transfer RNA is filed under the name Opitutia bacterium. RNAcentral's name for it is "tRNA-Val". It matches the Rfam family "tRNA". From Rfam's summary of the family: Transfer RNA (tRNA) molecules are approximately 80 nucleotides in length. Their secondary structure includes four short double-helical elements and three loops (D, anti-codon, and T loops). Further hydrogen bonds mediate the characteristic L-shaped molecular structure. tRNAs have two regions of fundamental functional importance: the anti-codon, which is responsible for specific mRNA codon recognition, and the 3' end, to which the tRNAs corresponding amino acid is attached (by aminoacyl-tRNA synthetases). tRNAs cope with the degeneracy of the genetic code in two manners: having more than one tRNA (with a specific anti-codon) for a particular amino acid; and 'wobble' base-pairing, i.e. permitting non-standard base-pairing at the 3rd anti-codon position. Lineage: Bacteria; Pseudomonadati; Verrucomicrobiota; Opitutia. RNAcentral also lists the same sequence under 1 other name. The record is from RNAcentral.